This is a long non-coding RNA of Megalobrama amblycephala (Wuchang bream), 1590 nucleotides long. RefSeq lists it as uncharacterized. NCBI's taxonomy places the organism in Eukaryota, Metazoa, Chordata, Actinopteri, Cypriniformes, Xenocyprididae. The transcript has 6 exons. The record is from RefSeq and is a predicted model, not a curated record.
UCCUGUAACAGGGAAAAGAAGAAACAAAAGAGUUACUCAGCUGCAUCUCCGGUUAAUGUUGUGACUGACAGAACGGUGUCACGGGUACAGGCUGCAAAAACCACUCUGUAACUGCUCGUUGGGCUCGUGUACUUCGGCCAUCGCUCUCAACCUUUCGUUCUCUUCUCUUGAAGAAGAAACUUCCACCGAGAGCAGCGCCACCUACAGGAUCCAGAGAAGAACCAGAGGACAGAUGAACUGAUGAGCUCAGAUUUCGAUAUGACGCUUGUUACCGUGGAUUCAUUGCCGUCCAGCAGGUUUUGCGUAAGUCUGCGCAGCUCCACGAGACUAGCGGGCAAACUACCCAUGGGGACGUCUUUUGCCGACAACGUCUCCGAAGACUCGUCCAUGGAUGAGUCUGUGGAUAAGGCGGAGUCUGUGAUGUCAUUUCCUCUCAGCUGUGAGCAGAUGGAACGCACCUGACACUCCUCCUGCUCCAUACUCUGCUCGAUCUCACAGAGAAGGCUGUGUGGGUUCGGACUGAAGCCCUGUAGACUGCGUUCCUCCGUCAGCUCCUCCAGACGAGCGCUCAGCUGCCUGUGAGACACGCGCACCUCCUGCAACUCCAGCUGGCUCUGCCGCAGCUGUGCACCAGCCGCUCACCUGUAAGUCCUUGUCGUGACACUGUUUCUCCAGCACCAGCGUUCGCUCUCUCAGCUCCUCCACCGUGUUCUGCAGCUGCUCGUUCUCCUCAAGCAUGGCGUUCACACGUCGCUCCAGUUCCUGCUUACGUUCCGACAACAUCUUUAUCUACCCAACGAGACCGGGAAAAACACCAGAGAGAGAUUGACGGACGGUUCAGCUGAUCCUGUAAAUCAGCUCUGGUCUGACGGACAGCUCAUCCCUGUAUCGAACACUAAUCAUGGGACUAAUUACCCUCUGUGAGUAAACCCUGACACUUCAUCUCAGUUCUGUGUAGUUCUCUAUAUUAUGACUUCUGAGUAAAGCUGUGGCAGUACCAUAAAUCAGUGAUGCAUCAGAUAGUAUUAUUAUGGUACUUUGAUAUACAGUAGGGUCCAAAUGUCUGGGACAUUGAAUAUUUUUUUCAAUUUUUUCCAAUUUAAAAUAAAAUAAAAAAAUUGUUUAAUAGUGAUUUACUUUGUAUAUAUAUUUUUUGUAUGUCUUUGUUUAUCCUGUAGAAUUUGUAUUAUUGUUCAUUUGGGUGUAGAAUUAUGAUUCUGUUUUCUUUUUGAUUAUUUUUAAUUUUAACCUUUACUUUUUUUUCUCAUUUUGUAUUCUACACAAUUAGAGGUGUGGCCUUUGUUAAUAUUAACAGCGUUCAGUACUGUUUUUAAUUUUUAAAAAGGGUAAAUUUGUGGCCAAAUGGAACCAUUUAAAAAUCAGAUCUGAUCUCGAUCAGUAAAAACGCAUGCAGAGACCGGAUAUGUUUCAGGAUAACUUGCCAGUCAGUAAUCAUUUAGGAGAAGUGUGGACUGUUCACUUAAAGGAUUAGUUCACUUUCAAAUGAAAAUUAGCCCAAGCUUUACUCGGAUGGAGACACUUUCUUCAGCUUAUACUCGUUGGUCCCGUUCACUGCCAUUAUAAAGCUCA